Molecule: long non-coding RNA, 385 nt
Organism: Girardinichthys multiradiatus
Lineage: Eukaryota; Metazoa; Chordata; Actinopteri; Cyprinodontiformes; Goodeidae
Exons: 2
Source: RefSeq, a predicted model, not a curated record
CAAAACAAAAGAGCAAAGUGUACCGGAGUCAAAUUCCUUGUUCGUAUGUACGAACUUUGCAAUAAAGCUGAUUCUGAUUCUCGCUUCCUCCAACCCUACCGGCUGUACCUUUUGGACACGAUCAAGCUGGCGGCUUCUCGCUUCCUCCAACCCCAGGACCAAGGCAUAAGCGUACUCUGUUCCUCCCUCCUUCGCAAACAUCGGCACCUGUGCUUCAUCUGGUUUGCACCAAACCAGCAGCUGAGGAGACAACUGAGCAACCUCACUUCGCAAGUUAAGACUCUGAACCUCUCUACCUCUAGUGGUUCAAGCAACAGAAAUUUAUUGGCGUUUCCAAUUCUCAUUCCUGAUUACUUUGCUGACAAUAAAAACACAUUAAACUUUA